AUUGAACGCUGGCGGCAGGCCUAACACAUGCAAGUCGAACGGUAACAGGAAGAAGCUUGCUUCUUUGCUGACGAGUGGCGGACGGGUGAGUAAUGUCUGGGAAACUGCCUGAUGGAGGGGGAUAACUACUGGAAACGGUAGCUAAUACCGCAUAACGUCGCAAGACCAACGAGGGGGACCUUCGGGCCUCUUGCCAUCGGAUGUUCCCAGAUGGGAUUAGCUAGUAGGUGGGGUAACGGCUCACCUAGGCGACGCUCCCUAGCUGGUCUGAGAGGAUGACCGGCCACACUGGAACUGAGACACGGUCCAGACUCCUACGGGAGGCAGCAGUGGGGAAUAUUGCACAAUGGGCGAAAGCCUGAUGGAGCCAUGCCGCGUGUAUGAAGAAGGCCUUCGGGUUGUAAAGUACUUUCAGCGGGGAGGAAGGGAGUAAAGUUAAUACCUGUGCUCAUUGACGGUACCCGCAGAAGAAGCACCGGCUAACUCCGUG
RNAcentral lists this ribosomal RNA (490 nucleotides) under uncultured bacterium. RNAcentral's name for it is "partial 16S ribosomal RNA". It matches the Rfam family "Bacterial small subunit ribosomal RNA", at positions 30 to 507 of the family's 1533-position model. The record is from RNAcentral.